UCAAUCUGUCAAAAAAAAAAAAUGGAACGUUUGAGCGACUGUCUCGUGUUUGAGAGAGAAGGGGGGGGGGGGAGAGAAAAAUUGCGAGAGGGUGAGAAGAAAAAAGGUUGUUCGUUCGUUCGGUCGGGCGAGCGAGGUAUUGGGGGCUUGCGUAAUCCGCCGGAAACUCGCUCGUCAUGGCAACCGUAAACACGCCGCUUGCGCGUAGAUCGCGUGCGUGUGUUUCGUAUAUCGCCAGUCGCGUUGUUUUGUUCACUCUACGUUCGAUGGAGAACUGACCGUUUUGUUCCUCUCCGUUCUUCUGCUUCUUUUUCUUCCGAUACUAAUUUUUUUUUUAUUUUCAUUCUUUUAUUCCACAUGCUACUUUGACGAUUCUUCAUUUUUUCCUCGCUGUCUGUUUGACAAUUCUCUCACGAGAGUAUUUGCCACAGAAAUUUUCUCCGCGGCGGUCGCCGUAGUAAAAUAAUCCUCGCGCAAGAUAUCUCGAUGUGCGGAUACUGCGCGUCGGCAUUAAUUCACUCGACAGUCAACGAUCGACGAAACGAUCAAAUGCUCACGGCAAUAAUAAUAAUACUAACAACAAUGAUAAAACGACGAGUUAUUUCGUCCAAUGGGAUCAUCGAUCAGGACAUUUUUCAGCGUGCUUCGUGCCCGUAUUUUUUUAAUUCCGUGCUUCGAGGGCGCGCAUUUUUUCCAAUUUCCAUGAGAUGCUCUUUCGGGCUAAAUUAUUCAAACGAAUAUCGGCUUCCGGUGAACCGGAAAUCGGCCCUCUAUAGAUAGAAUUUUCUCUCUUUCUCCCUCCUUCCAUUCCUUUCCCUCGCGUCUAACAAUCGACGAGAAAACAUGCAGCUUCAGAUCGCUUCGAGAUCACGAGAGGAUUAUUUUAUCUGCCACUCCUUCGCUCAGGUCUAACGCCUGGGAAUAUUAUUGCAGAGGCUCGGGAGCGCGCGCGCGCGCGCUGGAAAAUUCAUAAAUAAUUGAUACUCGGGCGAGGAUGGUACUAGCGACCCUGAGACUCGUCGAUACGUUUGAAUAGCGCGGAUAGGUCGAGCCUUUAUUGUUUAUAUAUCGCCGGUGGUUCGUGGCUUCGGAGCUUGCUAUAAAUUCUAUCAAAUGCUUCAUUCAUAAAUUUCAAUAUCAUUUGGAUUCGCUGCGUGCGAAAAUUGAGCGUUCGAAAUUUUCAGUUUUCAUCAUUUUUAUUAUGGAAUAUCUAACACCGAAGUCAGCCGUUGGAGAUAUUCCGCGGGAAUGGCCAAAUGAGGAGAAUUCAUUGAACAAAAAGAACACUUUUUUCUCACAUUCGGGACGAAUGGACGAAUUUAUUUCUCGAAUAAAUGGCUGAAUUUCGCGAACCUCGAGCCCUUUCGCAAGUGUGUGCCACGAUUCGUCAUCUCCGAGAACCCACGUGGCCUAAUCGUCACAUUUGAGCAUGCAAAUAAUAAAUGUGAUUGAAUCUUCCGCCAACGGAUUUUUCGAGGGAGAGGAAAACAUGAGGACUCCCGGAAUAGAAAGUAUACCGUUAAGGCCCACGCGGACAGAGUUACCGAAGGGCAACUCGGGGCAAAUUAUUGUUUUCCCAAAAUACUAGGACGAAAGGGUUCAUCCCGAACGAAGUAGACGAAGAAACGGGCAGGCUCAAGCCCCAAAAGACGAACCUCCUUGCGUAUCGUAGACUUGACGUUGCACGACUCAUCCUUUGACCCAGAGAACAUCGAGGCACGACUCCUGGGAUGAAGCGAGUCCCGAAGCGAUCUUCUUCCGCCUUGAGAUCGAUUCUUGGUCGCGACUCGUCUCAAGCAGCAGGUUACUUGGACAUGGACGCUUGGUUAUUCGGAGAAAGAGAGAAUCGACAUUGAAUAUUCUCAUCUAUUUUCUCGAUCUUGGAUACUCUCGCCGGGGAGGAUGUGACAGAGGAGGAGACGAAGACGAAGAGGCAGUGAAUAAAAUGAGAAAAGCGAAAAGCGAAUGGUUGAUGAGGCUUGGCAAGGAUCGGAGAAACAGAUUUCAGGCAUUUAUCAUUCGGGAGAUCUCUCUUCGAUUUUCUCUUCUUUUUGUGAGAGAGAACAGAAGUUAUAUUAGAAGUAGCGAAAGGCGAAAGACAGAAAAAGUUCGUACACUAUUUUUAUAAAACUUUCGUCGAUUUUCCAUCUUUUCGAAUAUCAGUCGAUUUGCAAGGGUGUAUGAUCAACACUGUGACAAAGUUCGUUGCAAAAAAGUAGUUGGAAUUAUCUACUUGACGAGGGAGAUGCGAAAAGUUGGGGUCACGAAUUUUCUAACCUCAAAAAAUGACACAUUUCAACGCGUUCGGUCGUUCCAUGACUAGUCAAGUUUGCAACUACUUUAUGUUGAUUAAUUUCAAGUCUAAAUUGUUAAUAAAAUUAACAAACACUUACAUUGAGAAUAUUUUUAUCACAAGAAUGUAAUAAAAUGCUUUAAAAAUAUCAUAGACGAUAAAAUUUAUACUUCAACUUGACUACAGUUAAUGAUCGCGAGUCCGACACUUCUUCGAGUACACAUAACCUAGAAAACAUUUUUAUUGUGCAAAAGAAAGUUUAUUAAUCGGUGUAAUGGCACCGAGAAAAAGGGAUGGUCAAUUGCCUGAAGUUCAAUCGCAGCUGUAAAAUUUUUUGACAAUUAAUAUUAUUGUGAGUUCUUCCGUAUUAGGGUACCGUGUAUUAAAACUCAAAAUUGUAAAUGUAAUAAUUAAAGUUUACCGCAAAAAAAGUG
Venturia canescens is the source of this 2727-nucleotide long non-coding RNA. RefSeq lists it as uncharacterized. Lineage: Eukaryota; Metazoa; Arthropoda; Insecta; Hymenoptera; Ichneumonidae. The transcript is spliced from 2 exons. The record is from RefSeq and is a predicted model, not a curated record.